CGCAGCUAACGCAUUAAGCGCCCCGCCUGGGGAGUACGAUCGCAAGAUUAAAACUCAAAGGAAUGGACGGGGCCCCGCACAAGCACCGGAGCAUGCGGCUUAAUUCGACGCAACGCGAAGAACCUUACCAAGGCUGGAAAUAUACAGGAAUAUGGCAGAGAUGUCAAAGCGGUAAAACGUCGGUAUACAGGUGGUGCAUGGUUGUCGUCAGCUCGUGUCGUGAGAUGUUGGGUUAAGUCCCGCAACGAGCGCAACCUUCGUUCUGUGUUGCCAGCAUUUAGUUGGGGACUCACAGGAGACUGCCGGGGUUAACUCGGAGGAAGGUGGGGAUGACGUCAAAUCAUCAUGCCCCUUAUGUCUUGGGCUGCACGCAUGCUACAAUGGCUGGUACAAAGGGCUGCAAUACUGCAAAGUGGAGCGAAUCCCAAAAAGCCAGUCUCAGUUCGGAUUGGGGUCUGCAACUCGACCCCAUGAAGUCGGAGUUGCUAGUAAUCGUAGAUCAGCAACGCUACGGUGAAUACGUUCCCGGGGCUUGUACACACCGCCCGUCACAUCACGAAAGUCGGUAACACCCAAAGUCAGUGGCCCAACC
This 592-nucleotide ribosomal RNA is filed under the name uncultured Actinomycetes bacterium. RNAcentral describes it as "bacterial SSU rRNA". It matches the Rfam family "Bacterial small subunit ribosomal RNA", at positions 847 to 1440 of the family's 1533-position model. Lineage: Bacteria; Bacillati; Actinomycetota; Actinomycetes. The record is from RNAcentral.